Molecule: non-coding RNA, 1626 nt
Organism: Misgurnus anguillicaudatus (oriental weatherfish)
Lineage: Eukaryota; Metazoa; Chordata; Actinopteri; Cypriniformes; Cobitidae
Source: RefSeq, a predicted model, not a curated record
UGUGUGUGUGUGUGUGUGUGUGUGUGUGUGUGUGUGUAGGCAUAUGUGGUUUAUGAGACCAAUUUUCAGGUUUACAUACCAGCAUUACAAGACCAUUCGGUUUAUGAGACCAUUUUGUGUGGUCUCGUAAUUCUGGAAAUUUGAAUUGUUAUAAUUAAUGACUAAUAAUAAUUCUAAAAAUUAUUAAUGCUUGUAUGUUUACUAUAUUAAUACUUUUAUUAAGUAUUGUCGCUAUUUUACUGUUAUGACACUCCCUACCUUUUUUAUGACGUUUAUAAACAUGGUCCUCUUAAACCAUGAUGUGUCUGUGUGAACUCGGAACAGUGCCCCUGUAGGUGGGAAUUGGUAUUGCGUGGUAUACACAUUCGCGCCAUAUUACACACAUAUUCGCGCCAGAUUACACACAAAUUCGCGCCAAGUGCCAUUGACGGAACAGUCAAGGAGAUUUGCAGCAGAACAAACGCAGCAGCUGGAUCUGUCGGGAUAAAAGUAAGUAAUAUCUUUUUUUUUUGUCAAAUGUUCAUUUGAUGUUAUUUAAUAACUUAAAACUCUAGCAAUGGCGUGUAGCACUGUAACGUUAAUGUAUAAUAAGCUCUGAGACGCAAAGAUGAUGUAGAUCUCAACUAAUGUGGUAAAUUAAUCAUUAAGAAAUACAAUUUGAAUGAAAUACAGUAUAUCGUUGUAAAAUAAAGUGGCCUUGGGCACAGCAGACUGCCAAUAUGUCACGGGGCCUAAAAAAAAAACAAUGCUGCGAUAUAUUUUUUUAUUUGAUCAUUUAACAAACUCCUAAUAAUACAGUAGUUUGACAUCUGAGUAAGCACAAUUUUCUCUAAUGUCGCAGUUCACGCGGUUUGAGCGAAGCUGGCUGAGGUGAACUCUACACGGGGCAAUUGUCUCUCGCUCCCCUGGCCACGGAGCGUGCGAUUUUCUCACCAUGUCACGAUUUCUGUAUUUGAUUUGAGACCUCGAUUAAAAAAACAUUGAUUACAUGAUUUUGCCCGUGGCAGUAACCAUAAAAUAUGGCGAAUUUCAAGGAUGAGAAAACAUUAAGCAUUAUGAGACGGUUUUCCAAGGCUGCAUUAUAUGUUAAAACCAUGAAACGAUUAGUCCUCAACGCCGACAAUAAAUAAAAUUGUCGACACAUAUCUUUGUUGUCGAGUGGUCGUUUUCAUCUCAUUUAGACUUAAACAAAUAUAAAUGCAUGUAAUGUCGUGAUUUGACCGCUACGACGCUGUAGCGCUAGAGUGCAAUGCAGCCCUAACAAAUCUGCGAUAGAAGAAGAUGGAUGAAAAAACACAGCGCAGGUUAUGGCGAAGUGCAAAUAAAGUUUUACAACACUUAAAAACCAAGAAUGCUGUCGUGUGUAAUACAUAAAAGACAGAUAUUGCCUUUCACGGGAGCACAUGGUGCAUGUUGGAGCACUUAGGUGGGAGUGAUUCGGAGUCAUCGGAGAAGAGGACCAAAUCCUCUGAAAGAUGCAGAAAUCCAUGAACAAAAGGGCAAGGACAAAGACAACAUAACCAGAAAAUAUAUUAAUCCCAUCAAAGCUCGUCCAUGAGCCUGUCGUUUCAGGAAGUGAAGUCACAUCUCCUAAAGAGGUUUGUUAAUAAUUUUGUCAAAUUUGUG